RNAcentral lists this unclassified non-coding RNA (381 nucleotides) under fungal sp. Its description in RNAcentral is "partial internal transcribed spacer region". The stretch from base 1 to 46 matches the Rfam family "Eukaryotic small subunit ribosomal RNA", at positions 1786 to 1831 of the family's 1831-position model. The record is from RNAcentral. Lineage: Eukaryota; Fungi.
AAGUCGUAACAAGGUUUCCGUAGGUGAACCUGCGGAAGGAUCAUUCACACUCGGAGGGGAGGUUCUGCCUCUCUUCCCUUCACACCAAAACCGAUCUGCUCACGUUCAAAAGAAAGACACGAGACCAUGGCCGCGAGGUCAGGCUCGGAGUAAUUCUGGCUGGCGGCUGCUUUUGCGGUCGUUGGUUGGAAACCUGCAUCAACUGAUGCUACCUUUUUACCCCCGUCGUCUCGGGUUGCGCUUCGGCCCUUCUCGGGAUUGUCAUUCUGGCUAAGUCUGUUCGCUUUCUUGGAUCUCAGCAGUUCCAUGGGGGCGGGCAAGUUGACACCUACGUGAACCUAGUGUAGCAUACAACUCUUUGCAAUGGAUAUCUUGGCUCUC